GCCGGAAUGGCGGAAUUGGUAGACGCAGCGGACUCAAAAUCCGCCGACUAAUCAUCGUAAGGGUUCGAGUCCCUUUUCCGGCACCA
RNAcentral lists this transfer RNA (86 nucleotides) under Burkholderiales bacterium. RNAcentral describes it as "tRNA-Leu". It matches the Rfam family "tRNA". From Rfam's summary of the family: Transfer RNA (tRNA) molecules are approximately 80 nucleotides in length. Their secondary structure includes four short double-helical elements and three loops (D, anti-codon, and T loops). RNAcentral also lists the same sequence under 2 other names. The record is from RNAcentral. Lineage: Bacteria; Pseudomonadati; Pseudomonadota; Betaproteobacteria; Burkholderiales.